GGCGUCGUACCCAAGCGGUGAAGGGAACGGUCUGCAAAACCGUGAUGCAGCGGUUCGAGUCCGCUCGACGCCUCCA
RNAcentral lists this transfer RNA (76 nucleotides) under Armatimonadetes bacterium Uphvl-Ar2. Its description in RNAcentral is "tRNA-Cys". It matches the Rfam family "tRNA". From Rfam's summary of the family: Transfer RNA (tRNA) molecules are approximately 80 nucleotides in length. Their secondary structure includes four short double-helical elements and three loops (D, anti-codon, and T loops). The record is from RNAcentral. Lineage: Bacteria; Bacillati; Armatimonadota. RNAcentral also lists the same sequence under 2 other names.